AAUCAGUGAUGAAAUAU
Molecule: small RNA, 17 nt
Filed under: Arabidopsis thaliana (thale cress)
Lineage: Eukaryota; Viridiplantae; Streptophyta; Magnoliopsida; Brassicales; Brassicaceae
Description: ATSL076420
Source: RNAcentral